RNAcentral lists this small RNA (17 nucleotides) under Arabidopsis thaliana (thale cress). RNAcentral's name for it is "ATSL238240". Lineage: Eukaryota; Viridiplantae; Streptophyta; Magnoliopsida; Brassicales; Brassicaceae. The record is from RNAcentral.
AAACAGGAAAAGAAAAA